GACUCAAAACAAAACAAAACAAAACAAAACAAAACCUACUUAUAAAAACUAGAAGCUAUUGGAUCACUUUAUUCUUUUUGUUAGGUGUUCUAUAAUUUUUCUACCAUGAUCAUGGAUUACCUUUGAAUUAAAUGUGCGUAAUUAAAGGGGAUGGAAUAGAGCUGAUGUGAGGGGAAAAUGCUGAGCUCGGCAACUCUCGGGGCCUCCUCUGCACCUCUUGCGGAUGCUUUACACGCUGUUACCUCGGUUUCUGUCUCAACAAGCCUGGAAUGGAAGCAGUGGGGCUCCCCCUUCUCGACUGCAAAAACUGAGUUCCCAGAGCCGCCAAAGGCCUUGCCAUCACGAGGCCAAGGCCCCGGUGACACGCCAGGAGCGGGUAUUCAAAUGCACAGCACUUUUAUCAAGGUCAGACUUCCAACUCUGGGAAAAGCAGAACCUUCUUCCUUUCCUGCAACCUGACCACAGAGCCUCUGAGAAAAGCCUUCCCCAUCCGAGCAACACUCUGGGAACCUGCUUCCUCCACUUCAGGUGUCCGCCUGUUUGUUGCUCAAGAGUUCCAACCUGGCCACAGUAAGGAAGUGAUACAGUGGAGCAGAGGAUCGGGGGACCGCCUCGAAGCUGGCAGGGACACAAACCACCGCCUGAAUCUGACCUGCACCGACUCCUGGAGCCGUGGACUGUUUGCUCUCUGUCUGAGGCUUUAUCUGCCAGGGAGAUGGGCAAGCGGCCAGGGCCCUCUCGGGUGAGGGGUUGAACAGCCAGGCGGCGGCACGCUGCCAUACCAGAUGUCAUGGCUGGUCACUCAGAGGAGCUCUGGGCCAGGAGUCAGGAGGCCGAGGGCCGGGAGAUGGCUCCAGCUGGGCUCCAUGCAUCUGAGCGACACUCUCCCCCACAACCCUUCACUUCAGGCCCUCCAAGUGUGGAGUAAAGGGCUGGGCAGCAAAAGGAUUUAUCAUCCGUGCUGCACGAGUCUCGCAGACAUUUGUGUUUAAAAUAUAUACACAUAGGUCGAACGAUUUUCUUAAAGUAUUUUUUUAAAGAUAAAACCUAUUCAACCAUAUGCAUAUUAACAUGCUGAAGUUAAUCUGCUUUUAGGUUGUUUUGGGGUAGACUUCCCUGUCACUUCUGGAAUUGCAACAUGUUAAAAAAUGUAAUCAUUUCCAUUUACUUCUCUCUCUGACCAAAAUACGGGAAAAAAUGGGUUCUAAGGUCAAUCUAAGACUGCAUUCAUCAAAACAUUACUUUUCUUGUCUUUCUAAGCCAGUAUUAUCCAGCAGAAUUUACACUUUUUAUAGCAAUAUCAUCUAAACUGUUUUAUGCAAUUUAUAUUUCUUAUAGAAGAUUUCUUUCCAAAAAUACACUGGGCUAGUUUUCACCUUUGAAAAAUCACCAUCCCCAGUAACCUCUAAUUCCUCCUCUGGCUCGGACUUUCCACCCAUCUCCAAUUCUAAUCCCUGGACAUAUUCAUAGGGUCUUAAACUUAGUCCACAGAGAACCUUGAAACCUCUUGCCUUUACUUUGACACAUGAGGCUUUUUUCUUCAUAUAACUAGCUUUGUACCCAAAUCCCAUUCUUCAGCACUCAGCUCAAGUACAACCUCUUCUAUACAAAACACUUAACAUGGUCUUGGACCUAAGCCUCUGUUUCUUCAUCUGCAAAACGUGAUAGCAGAACCUCCCUCAAGUGGUGAGGUUUAAGUGAACUGGUGGAAGGUGUAUCUAAAAUACCAAAACAUCGACACAUGAGUGCAAGGAGCGCUCACUAUUCUAGUGUCUUUAUUACUGUCUCUCGUGUUAUCGUCACAGUGGAAAAGACGUUGGAGUCAAUGAAGUCUCAGUUCUACCAUGCAAUAAAUGUGUGACCUCAGGCAAAGAA
Felis catus (domestic cat) is the source of this 1875-nucleotide long non-coding RNA. RefSeq lists it as uncharacterized. The transcript has 2 exons. The record is from RefSeq and is a predicted model, not a curated record. Lineage: Eukaryota; Metazoa; Chordata; Mammalia; Carnivora; Felidae.